Molecule: ribosomal RNA, 87 nt
Filed under: uncultured bacterium
Lineage: Bacteria
Description: partial 16S ribosomal RNA
Source: RNAcentral
UGGGACGAAGCCCUUCGGGGUGUAAACCACUGUCAGAGGAUAGAAAGUUCUGAUCAUCCUCAGAGGAAGGCACGGCUAACUCUGUGC